RNAcentral lists this ribosomal RNA (539 nucleotides) under uncultured Candida. RNAcentral describes it as "SSU rRNA". It matches the Rfam family "Eukaryotic small subunit ribosomal RNA", at positions 194 to 755 of the family's 1831-position model. The record is from RNAcentral. Lineage: Eukaryota; Fungi; Ascomycota; Saccharomycetes; Saccharomycetales.
GGAAGUGAUGUAUUUAUUAGAUAAAAAAUCAAUGCCUUCGGGCUCUUUGAUGAUUCAUAAUAACUUUUCGAAUCGCAUGGCCUUGUGCUGGCGAUGGUUCAUUCAAAUUUCUGCCCUAUCAACAAUCGAUGGUAGGAUAGUGGCCUACCAUGGUUUCAACGGGUAACGGGGAAUAAGGGUUCGAUUCCGGAGAGGGAGCCUGAGAAACGGCUACCACAUCCAAGGAAGGCAGCAGGCGCGCAAAUUACGGAAUCCCGACACGGGGAGGUAGUGACAAUAAAUAACGAUACAGGGUCCUUUCGCCUCUUGUAAUUUGAAUGAGUUUGGUGUAAAUACCUUAACGAGGAACAAUUGGAGGGCAAGUCUGGUGCCAGCAGCCGCGGUAAUUCCAGCUCCAAAAGCGUAUAUUAAAGUUGUUGCAGUUAAAAAGCUCGUAGUUGAACCUUGGGCUUGGCUGGCCGGUCCAUCUUUUUUGAUGCGUACUGGACCCAGCCGAGCCUUUCCUUCUGGCUAGCCUUUUGGCGAACCAGGACUUUUAC